RNAcentral lists this ribosomal RNA (506 nucleotides) under uncultured bacterium. RNAcentral describes it as "bacterial SSU rRNA". It matches the Rfam family "Bacterial small subunit ribosomal RNA", at positions 19 to 518 of the family's 1533-position model. The record is from RNAcentral.
AUGGCUCAGGAUGAACGCUAGCUACAGGCUUAACACAUGCAAGUCGAGGGGCAGCAUUGGAGUAGCAAUACUCAGAUGGCGACCGGCGCACGGGUGAGUAACACGUAUCCAACCUGCCGCUUACUCGGGGAUAGCCUUUCGAAAGAAAGAUUAAUACCCGAUGGUAUAAAGAGUUCGCAUGUUCUCUUUAUUAAAGAAUUUCGGUAAGCGAUGGGGAUGCGUUCCAUUAGAUAGUUGGCGGGGUAACGGCCCACCAAGUCUACGAUGGAUAGGGGUUCUGAGAGGAAGGUCCCCCACAUUGGAACUGAGACACGGUCCAAACUCCUACGGGAGGCAGCAGUGAGGAAUAUUGGUCAAUGGACGCGAGUCUGAACCAGCCAAGUAGCGUGAAGGAUGACUGCCCUAUGGGUUGUAAACUUCUUUUAUAAGGGAAUAAAGUGAGGGACGUGUCCCUUUUUGUAUGUACCUUAUGAAUAAGGAUCGGCUAACUCCGUGCCAGCAGCUGC